This 74-nucleotide transfer RNA is filed under the name Spirochaetia bacterium. RNAcentral describes it as "tRNA-Thr". It matches the Rfam family "tRNA". From Rfam's summary of the family: Transfer RNA (tRNA) molecules are approximately 80 nucleotides in length. Their secondary structure includes four short double-helical elements and three loops (D, anti-codon, and T loops). Lineage: Bacteria; Pseudomonadati; Spirochaetota; Spirochaetia. The record is from RNAcentral.
GCCGCCUUAGCUCAGCAGGUAGAGCACUUGACUUGUAAUCAUGAGGUCUCCGGUUCGAUUCCGGGAGGCGGCUC